UACGUAGGUGGCGAGCGUUGUCCGGAUUUACUGGGCGUAAAGAGCGCGCAGGCGGUCGUACAAGUCGCGUGUGAAAGCCCCCGGCUCAACUGGGGAGGGUCACGCGAUACUGUUCGACUCGAAGGCAGGAGAGGGAAGCAGAAUUCCCGGUGUAGUGGUGAAAUGCGUAGAUAUCGGGAGGAAUACCAGUGGCGAAGGCGGCUUCCUGGCCUGUUCUUGACGCUGAGGCGCGAAAGCUAGGGUAGCAAACGGG
RNAcentral lists this ribosomal RNA (253 nucleotides) under uncultured bacterium. Its description in RNAcentral is "partial 16S ribosomal RNA". It matches the Rfam family "Bacterial small subunit ribosomal RNA", at positions 524 to 776 of the family's 1533-position model. The record is from RNAcentral.